UCCGGCGACCGGCGCACGGGUGAGUAACACGUAUGCAACCUGCCCUCUUCAGGGGACAACCUUCCGAAAGGGAGGCUAAUCCCGCGUAUAUCGGUUUCGGGCAUCCGAGAUCGAGGAAAGAUUCAUCGGAAGAGGAUGGGCAUGCGGCGCAUUAGCUAGACGGCGGGGUAACGGCCCACCGUGGCGACGAUGCGUAGGGGUUCUGAGAGGAAGGUCCCCCACACUGGUACUGAGACACGGACCAGACUCCUACGGGAGGCAGCAG
This 265-nucleotide ribosomal RNA is filed under the name uncultured bacterium. Its description in RNAcentral is "partial 16S ribosomal RNA". It matches the Rfam family "Bacterial small subunit ribosomal RNA", at positions 87 to 354 of the family's 1533-position model. The record is from RNAcentral.